UCCCUGUUACCAGGGCAGUCUAGCUAGAAAAAUUCAACUAACUAUAAGGGUUGCGCUCGUUAAUGGACUUAACCAAACAUCUCACGACACGAGCUGACGACGGCCAUGCAUCACCUGUCACUACGGCCCGAAGGCACAUUCGCCUUUCGGCGAACUUGGUAGGAUGUCAAACCUGGGUAAGGUUCUACGCUUAUCAUCGAAUUAAACAACACGCUCCACCGCUUGUGCGGGUCCCCGUCAAUUCCUUUAUGUUUUAAGCUUGCGCUCGUACUCCACAGGCGGGAUGCUUAACGCGUUAGCUUCGCUACUACACGGGUCGAUACGUAUAACAGCUAGCAUCCAUCGUUUACGGCGUGGACUAC
Molecule: unclassified non-coding RNA, 362 nt
Filed under: uncultured bacterium
Lineage: Bacteria
Description: contains 16S-23S intergenic spacer region
Source: RNAcentral